Molecule: ribosomal RNA, 292 nt
Filed under: uncultured bacterium
Lineage: Bacteria
Description: partial 16S ribosomal RNA
Rfam family: Archaeal small subunit ribosomal RNA
Source: RNAcentral
GUGCCAGCAGCCGCGGUAAUACCGGCAGCCCAAGUGAUGGCCGCUGUUAUUGGGCCUAAAGCGUCCGUAGCUGGCCGCACAAGUCCGUCGGGAAAUCCGCCCGCCCAACGAGUGGGCGUCCGACGGAAACUGCACAGCUUGGGACCGGAAGGCUCGAAGGGUACGGCCGGGGUAGGAGUGAAAUCCUGUAAUCCCGUCCGGACCACCGAUGGCGAAAGCACUUCGAGAAAACGGAUCCGACAGUGAGGGACGAAAGCCAGGGUCUCCAACCGGAUUAGAAACCCUAGUAGUC